UACGGAGGGUGCAAGCGUUAUCCGGAAUCAUUGGGUUUAAAGGGUCCGCAGGCGGAUUUAUAAGUCAGUGGUGAAAGCCUACAGCUUAACUGUAGAACUGCCAUUGAUACUGUAAGUCUUGAAUUCGGUCGAAGUGGGCGGAAUGUGUAAUGUAGCGGUGAAAUGCAUAGAUAUUACACAGAACACCGAUAGCGAAGGCAGCUCACUAGGCCUGGAUUGACGCUCAGGGACGAAAGCGUGGGGAUCAAACAGGAUUAGAUACCCUGGUAGUCCACGCUGUAAACGAUGAUUACUCGUUUUCGGCGAUAUACAGUCGGAGACUAAGCGAAAGUGAUAAGUAAUCCACCUGGGGAGUACGAUCGCAAGGUUGAAACUCAAAGGAAUUGACGGGGGCCCGCACAAGCGGUGGAGCAUGUGGUUUAAUUCGAUGAUACGCGAGGAACCUUACCAGGGCUUGAAAGUUAGUGAAGAAUGUGGAAACAUGUUCGUCAGCAAUGACACGAAACUAGGUGCUGCAUGGCUGUCGUCAGCUCGUGCCGUGAGGUGUUGGGUUAAGUCCCGCAACGAGCGCAACCCCCAUCUUUAGUUGCCAGCGGAUAAUGCCGGGGACUCUAAAGAAACUGCCUACGCAAGUAGUGAGGAAGGCGGGGACGACGUCAAGUCAUCACGGCCCUUACGUCCUGGGCCACACACGUGCUACAAUGGUCGGUACAGAGGGCAGCUACCGGGUGACCGGAUGCGAAUCUCUAAAGCCGAUCUCAGUUCGGAUUGGAGUCUGCAACUCGACUCUAUGAAGCUGGAGUCGCUAGUAAUCGCGCAUCAGCCAUGGCGCGGUGAAUACGUUCCCGGGCCU
This 853-nucleotide ribosomal RNA is filed under the name uncultured bacterium. Its description in RNAcentral is "SSU rRNA". It matches the Rfam family "Bacterial small subunit ribosomal RNA", at positions 524 to 1381 of the family's 1533-position model. The record is from RNAcentral.